CCCUAUCCGUCGUGGGCGUAGGAAAUUUGAGAGGAGCUGUCCUUAGUACGAGAGGACCGGGAUGGACAUACCUCUGGUGUACCAGUUGUCGUGCCAACGGCAUAGCUGGGUAGCUAUGUGUGGACGGGAUAAGUGCUGAAAGCAUCUAAGCAUGAAGCCCCCCUCAAGAUGAGAUUUCCCAACUUCGGUUAUAAGAUCCCUCAAAGAUGAUGAGGUUAAUAGGUUCGAGGUGGAAGCAUGGUGACAUGUGGAGCUGACGAAUACUAAUCGAUCGAAGACUUAAUCAA
RNAcentral lists this ribosomal RNA (287 nucleotides) under Staphylococcus aureus. RNAcentral's name for it is "partial 23S ribosomal RNA". It matches the Rfam family "Bacterial large subunit ribosomal RNA", at positions 2636 to 2925 of the family's 2925-position model. The record is from RNAcentral. Lineage: Bacteria; Bacillati; Bacillota; Bacilli; Caryophanales; Staphylococcaceae.